This 301-nucleotide ribosomal RNA is filed under the name uncultured bacterium. Its description in RNAcentral is "partial 16S ribosomal RNA". It matches the Rfam family "Bacterial small subunit ribosomal RNA", at positions 509 to 807 of the family's 1533-position model. The record is from RNAcentral.
CAGUCGCCGCGGUAACACGAAGGGUGCAAGCGUUAAUCGGAAUUACUGGGCGUAAAGCGUGCGUAGGCGGUGAGUUAAGUCUGCUGUGAAAUCCCCGGGCUCAACCUGGGAAUGGCAGUGGAUACUGGCUCGCUAGAGUGUGUCAGAGGAUGGUGGAAUUCCCGGUGUAGCGGUGAAAUGCGUAGAGAUCGGGAGGAACAUCAGUGGCGAAGGCGGCCAUCUGGGACAACACUGACGCUGAGGCACGAAAGCGUGGGGAGCAAACAGGAUUAGAUACCCCAGUAGUCCCUGUCUCUUAUAC